CCGGCCUUGGCUAGUAUUUUUUAAAUAAUUCAUAUAUAUUUGAUUUAAAUCUCACAGCCAACAGCACAUGACUUAGUAGCCACUUCUGGUCCAACAUCCACCAUUGGGAUGGAACCCCUCAGGUGACAUAACAAUGUCUAGGAUUCUGUUUGUGCUGUUGUUAUUCUGCCUGCCAUGGGCACUGAGUACAGCUGCUCAUCAUACUGGACUAAUCAGGUCAAGGACAUGGGGCUUCAUUCUAAGUAACUCAGCUGUCAUCUUCAUUAUAAAACCACACAUUUUCCUCUGACUCUGGGCAAUGACCUGCGUAUAUAAGCUGUUAGUCAUAAGGGCUGGAUGGGGCAGCAUCUCAAUCAUAUAGGGCACAGGACAGACCUCAGUAUCACCAGCAAGAAUCCAUUACAGUUCAACAUGUAGUACCUCCAGACCUUUUCCCUGUGCCCCUGGACUCCAAGGUCUAUCCCACCCUCAGCUGUCCAUCUUCUAGAGCAGGCGGUCUAGCCUCCCCAAACCAGAAGAACUUCCUUUUUAUAUUCAACCACCUGAUGGAUGUCCCUGAUCAGUUCCCUCAGCUGCAGAGCACAAGAAGGACCUUCAGGAUCCAGCUUUCUGUGAUGAGACUGAGGCCAAAGAAGAAGGAAAAAGGAGAUGUUCAGGAUCACGCAAUGAUUUGUGGCAAAACCCCAGCUAUUAAUAUAACACCUAUACAACUUCUA
Molecule: long non-coding RNA, 716 nt
Organism: Homo sapiens (human)
Lineage: Eukaryota; Metazoa; Chordata; Mammalia; Primates; Hominidae
Exons: 4
Source: RefSeq, a predicted model, not a curated record